AGUGAACGCUGGCGGUAGGCCUAACACAUGCAAGUCGAACGGCAGCACAGUAAGAGCUUGCUCUUACGGGUGGCGAGUGGCGGACGGGUGAGGAAUACAUCGGAAUCUACUUUUUCGUGGGGGAUAACGUAGGGAAACUUACGCUAAUACCGCAUACGACCUACGGGGGAAAGCAGGGGAUCUUCGGACCUUGCGCGAAUGAAUGAGCCGAUGUCGGAUUAGCUAGUUGGCGGGGUAAAGGCCCACCAAGGCGACGAUCCGUAGCUGGUCUGAGAGGAUGAUCAGCCCCACUGGAACUGAGACACGGUCCAGACUCCUACGGGAGGCAGCAGUGGGGAAUAUUGGACAAUGGGCGCAAGCCUGAUCCAGCCAUACCGCGUGGGUGAAGAAGGCCUUCGGGUUGUAAAGCCCUUUUGUUGGGAAAGAAAAGCAGCAGGUUAAUACCCCGCUGUUCUGACGGUACCCAAAGAAUAAGCACCGGCUAACUUCGUG
RNAcentral lists this ribosomal RNA (492 nucleotides) under uncultured bacterium. RNAcentral describes it as "partial 16S ribosomal RNA". It matches the Rfam family "Bacterial small subunit ribosomal RNA", at positions 29 to 507 of the family's 1533-position model. The record is from RNAcentral.